This 406-nucleotide ribosomal RNA is filed under the name uncultured bacterium. RNAcentral's name for it is "bacterial SSU rRNA". It matches the Rfam family "Bacterial small subunit ribosomal RNA", at positions 30 to 432 of the family's 1533-position model. The record is from RNAcentral.
AGUGAACGCUGGCGGCAGGCCUAACACAUGCAAGUCGAACGGCAGCACGGCAGUAGCAAUACUGUGGGUGGCGAGUGGCGGACGGGUGAGGAAUACAUCGGGAUCUACCCUGUUGUGGGGGAUAACGUAGGGAAACUUACGCUAAUACCGCAUAAGAACUGAGGUUGAAAGCGGCGGACCGCAAGGCGUCGCGCGAUUGGAUGAACCGAUGUCCGAUUAGCUAGUUGGCGGGGUAAAGGCCCACCAAGGCGACGAUCGGUAGCUGGUCUGAGAGGACGACCAGCCACACUGGAACUGAGACACGGUCCAGACUCCUACGGGAGGCAGCAGUGGGGAAUACUGGACAAUGGGCGCAAGCCUGAUCCAGCCAUGCCGCGUGGGUGAAGAAGGCCUCGGUUGUAAGACC